This 420-nucleotide long non-coding RNA is filed under the name Homo sapiens (human). Its description in RNAcentral is "HSALNT0048815". Lineage: Eukaryota; Metazoa; Chordata; Mammalia; Primates; Hominidae. The record is from RNAcentral.
CGAGACCAUCCUGGCUAACGUGGUGAAACCCCCGUCUCUACUAAAAAUACAAAAAAAAAAAAAAUUAGCCAGGUGUGGUGGCGGGCUCCUGUAGUUCCAGCUACUCGGAAGACUGAGGCAGGAGAGUGGUGUGAACCCGGGAGACAGAGCUUGCAGUGAGCCGAGAUCGCACCACUGCACUCCAGCCUGGGCGACAGAGCGAGACUCUUGUCUCAAAAAUAAAAAUAAAAAUAAAAAUAAAAAUAAAAUAAAUAAAACCUGCUCUGAACAACUUUGUUCAUAUAGCUUUUCUAAUUUUUAAUUACAGAAUUAGGAUAACCAGAGAUUACGGCUCUUGAUCAUUAUUGCCAAACCUAGUCAUGGAGCAGCUAGAAGCUGAAGGAAGCUCUCUCCAUCGGCACUACAUACCCGAGAAGAAGA